UCUAACAUGUUGCGCGAGUCAUUGGGACGAGAAAGCCUAAAGGCGCAAUGAAAGUGAAGGUACGGCCCUAGCGCCGACCGAGGGAGGAUGGGCCGCGUCGCGAUGCGGCUCCGCACUCCCGGGGCGUCUCGCUCUCAUCGCGAGAAGAGGCGCACCCAGAGCGUACACGUUGGGACCCGAAAGAUGGUGAACUAUGCCUGGUCAGGACGAAGUCAGGGGAAACCCUGAUGGAGGUCCG
This 238-nucleotide ribosomal RNA is filed under the name Chrysis sp. JMC-1999. Its description in RNAcentral is "partial 28S ribosomal RNA". It matches the Rfam family "Eukaryotic large subunit ribosomal RNA", at positions 674 to 877 of the family's 3401-position model. The record is from RNAcentral. Lineage: Eukaryota; Metazoa; Arthropoda; Insecta; Hymenoptera; Chrysididae.